Molecule: ribosomal RNA, 465 nt
Filed under: uncultured bacterium
Lineage: Bacteria
Description: partial 16S ribosomal RNA
Rfam family: Bacterial small subunit ribosomal RNA
Source: RNAcentral
UCUACGGGUGGCUGCAGUGGGGAAUAUUGCGCAAUGGGCGCAAGCCUGACGCAGCGACGCCGCGUGAGGGAUGAAGGUCUUCGGAUCGUAAAGCUCUGUCAGCAGGGAAGAACGGUCUUUGUGCUAAUCACCAGUGAAUUGACGGUACCUGCAAAGGAAGCACCGGCUAACUCCGUGCCAGCAGCCGCGGUAAUACGGAGGGUGCGAGCGUUAAUCGGAAUUACUGGGCGUAAAGCGCUCGUAGGCGGUAUGUCAAGUCAGGGGUGAAAGCCCCGCGCUUAACGUGGGAAUUGCCUUUGAUACUGGGAAGCUAGAGUGUGUGAGAGGGUAGUGGAAUUCCAGGUGUAGGGGUGAAAUCCGUAGAUAUCUGGAGGAACAUCGGUGGCGAAGGCGACUAUCUGGCACAUAACUGACGCUGAGGAGCGAAAGCGUGGGUAGCAAACAGGAUUAGAUACCCCAGUAGUC